This 408-nucleotide ribosomal RNA is filed under the name Agrobacterium tumefaciens. RNAcentral describes it as "bacterial SSU rRNA". It matches the Rfam family "Bacterial small subunit ribosomal RNA", at positions 29 to 485 of the family's 1533-position model. The record is from RNAcentral. Lineage: Bacteria; Pseudomonadati; Pseudomonadota; Alphaproteobacteria; Hyphomicrobiales; Rhizobiaceae.
AACGAACGCUGGCGGCAGGCUUAACACAUGCAAGUCGAGCGCCCCGCAAGGGGAGCGGCAGACGGGUGAGUAACGCGUGGGAAUCUACCGUGCCCUACGGAAUAGCUCCGGGAAACUGGAAUUAAUACCGUAUACGCCCUACGGGGGAAAGAUUUAUCGGGGUAUGAUGAGCCCGCGUUGGAUUAGCUAGUUGGUGGGGUAAAGGCCUACCAAGGCGACGAUCCAUAGCUGGUCUGAGAGGAUGAUCAGCCACAUUGGGACUGAGACACGGCCCAAACUCCUACGGGAGGCAGCAGUGGGGAAUAUUGGACAAUGGGCGCAAGCCUGAUCCAGCCAUGCCGCGUGAGUGAUGAAGGUCUUAGGAUUGUAAAGCUCUUUCACCGGUGAAGAUAAUGACGUAACCGGAGA